AAUCAUUGACUGCCACGGUUCAAAGGGAUUCUGAAUCAAAUAAAGAAGUAAAGGAAGAACCACUUUAUGAAGAGUUGACUGUAUUGAGGUCUCAGUUUACUGAGAUACAAAA
Long non-coding RNA from Amphimedon queenslandica, 112 nucleotides. RefSeq lists it as uncharacterized. The transcript is spliced from 2 exons. The record is from RefSeq and is a predicted model, not a curated record. Lineage: Eukaryota; Metazoa; Porifera; Demospongiae; Haplosclerida; Niphatidae.